Molecule: ribosomal RNA, 622 nt
Filed under: uncultured fungus
Lineage: Eukaryota; Fungi
Description: LSU rRNA
Rfam family: Eukaryotic large subunit ribosomal RNA
Source: RNAcentral
ACCCGCUGAACUUAAGCAAAUCAAUAAGCGGAGGAAAAGAAACCAACAGGGAUUACCUCAGUAACGGCGAGUGAAGCGGUAAAAGCUCAAAUUUGAAAUCUCCUUCGGGCGAAUUGUAAUUUGUAGAGAAGUGUUCAGUUUAGAUAUUAAGUUAAGUUUUUUGGAAUGAAACGCCUUGGAGGGUGAGAGCCCCGUAUACUUAAUUAUCGACUACUAUGUGAACCUUCUUCGAAGAGUCGAGUUGUUUGGGAAUGCAGCUCUAAAUUGGUGGUAAAUUCCAUCUAAAGCUAAAUAUUGGCCAGAGACCGAUAGCGCACAAGUAGAGUGAUCGAAAGAUGAAAAGCACUUUGGAAAGAGAGUGAAAUAGUACGUGAAAUUGUUGAAAGGGAAGCGCUUACAAUUAGACUUGUUUUUAUGAAUGUUCAGCUUUCUUAAUUAGAAAGUGUACUCAAUCAUAAUCAGGCCAACAUCAAUUUGAGUAGUUGGAAAAAGGUUUUGGUAAUGUGACUUGUCUUCGGACAAGUGUUAUAGACCAUUUCAUAAUACAGCUUACUUGGAUUGAGGACAGCAUUUUUUAUGGAUGUUGGCGUAAUAAUUGUCAGCGGCCCGUCUUGAAACACGG